AAAGUUCUAUAUGGGAUACGGAUGAUGACCAUUUUCUAUAUAAAAGUCUUGACUAAAACACGUGCCAGCAGUCGCGGUAACACGGGACAGACUAGUGUUAUUCAUCUUUAAUAGGUUUAAAGGGUACCUAGACGGCAAAUUUAGCCCCCACUGAGCUGGGAUGGUACAUUUUUGCUAGAGUUUUAUAUGAGAGGGAUUUAGUACUAACAGAGUAGAGAUGAAAUUCUUUGAUACUGUAGGGCACUGAUAACGGCGAAGGCAGACCUUUAUGUAAAAACUGACGUUGAGGGACGAAGGCUUGGGUAACAAACAGGAUUAGGUACCCUAAUAGUCCAAGCAGAGACUGAUGAGUGCCAUAGAUUAGAAUAUGUUUGAUCUAUAAAUGAAAGUGAAAGCACUCCACUUAAGAGUAAUGCGGCAACGCAGGAACUGAAAUCAUUAGACCGUUUCUGAUACCAGUAGUGAAGUAUGUUGUUUAAUUCGAUGACCCACGAAAAAUCUUACCACAAUUUGAAUAUUAUAGCAACAAUAGGAAAGUCUUUUAACACGGUGGCAACACCGUUUAAUAUGAUGAAAGUGCUAAUAAUACAGGUGUUGCAUGGCUGUCUUCAGUUUAUGUCGUGAGAUGCGGGUUAGCUCCUACUAAAUAAACGUGAACCCUUACUUUAUUUUAGUUAGCAAUUGCUAAUUACAUAGAGUAGCUGUCUGAUACGUCAGACAAAUAACAGGGACCAAGACAAGUCCUCAUGGCCCGAACAUUGUGGGCUAUAGACGUGCCACA
Molecule: ribosomal RNA, 781 nt
Filed under: Arthonia dispersa
Lineage: Eukaryota; Fungi; Ascomycota; Arthoniomycetes; Arthoniales; Arthoniaceae
Description: SSU rRNA
Rfam family: Bacterial small subunit ribosomal RNA
Source: RNAcentral